UGGGGAAUAUUGCACAAUGGGGGAAACCCUGAUGCAGCGACGCCGCGUGAACGAAGAAGGUAUUCGUAUCGUAAAGUUCUGUCCUAUGGGAAGAUAAUGACAGUACCAUAGAAGAAAGCUCCGGCUAAAUACGUGCCAGCAGCCGCGGUAAUACGUAUGGAGCGAGCGUUGUCCGGAAUUAUUGGGCGUAAAGGGUACGCAGGCGGUUUAAUAAGUCGAAUGUUAAAGAUCGGGGCUCAACCCCGCAAAGCAUUGGAAACUGAUAAACUUGAGUAGUGGAGAGGAAAGUGGAAUUCCUAGUGUAGUGGUGAAAUACGUAGAUAUUAGGAGGAAUACCAGUAGCGAAGGCGACUUUCUGGACACAAACUGACGCUGAGGUACGAAAGCGUGGGGAGCAAACA
Molecule: ribosomal RNA, 401 nt
Filed under: bacterium
Lineage: Bacteria
Description: partial 16S ribosomal RNA
Rfam family: Bacterial small subunit ribosomal RNA
Source: RNAcentral